CUACGGGGCGCUGCAGUGGGGAAUAUUGCACAAUGGGCGCAAGCCUGAUGCAGCCAUGCCGCGUGUAUGAAGAAGGCCUUCGGGUUGUAAAGUACUUUCAGCGGGGAGGAAGGGAGUAAAGUUAAUACCUUUGCUCAUUGACGUUACCCGCAGAAGAAGCACCGGCUAACUCCGUGCCAGCAGCCGCGGUAAUACGGGAGGGUGCAAGCGUUAAUCGUAAUUACUGGGCGUAAAGCGCACGCAGGCGGUUUGUUAAGUCAGAUGUGAAAUCCCCGGUCUCAACCUGGGAACUGCAUCUGAUACUGGCAAGCUUGAGUCUCGUAGAGGGGGGUAGAAUUCCAGGUGUAGCGGUGAAAUGCGUAGAGAUCUGGAGGAAUACCGGUGGCGAAGGCGGCCCCCUGGACGAAGACUGACGCUCAGGUGCGAAAGCGUGGGGAGCAAACAGGAUUAGAUACCCGUGUAGUC
Molecule: ribosomal RNA, 465 nt
Filed under: uncultured bacterium
Lineage: Bacteria
Description: partial 16S ribosomal RNA
Rfam family: Bacterial small subunit ribosomal RNA
Source: RNAcentral